This 59-nucleotide ribosomal RNA is filed under the name Stutzerimonas stutzeri. RNAcentral describes it as "Pseudomonas stutzeri partial 23S ribosomal RNA". The record is from RNAcentral. Lineage: Bacteria; Pseudomonadati; Pseudomonadota; Gammaproteobacteria; Pseudomonadales; Pseudomonadaceae.
CGUUGAGCUAACCAAUACUAAUUGCCCGUGAGGCUUGACCAUAUAACACCCAAACAAUU